UACGUAGGUGUCGAGCGUUGUCCGGAUUUAUUGGGCGUAAAGAGCCCGCAGGCGGCUUGUCUAGUCCGAGGUGAAAUCUCCCGGCUCAACUGGGAGGGUGCCUCGGAAACUGGCAGGCUUGAGGCAGGGAGAGGGAUGUGGAAUUCCAGGUGUAGUGGUGAAAUGCGUAGAGACCCGGAGGAACACCAGUGGCGAAGGCGGCUUCCUGGUCUGCGACUGACGCUGUGGCGCGAAAGCUAGGGGAGCAAACGGG
Molecule: ribosomal RNA, 253 nt
Filed under: uncultured bacterium
Lineage: Bacteria
Description: partial 16S ribosomal RNA
Rfam family: Bacterial small subunit ribosomal RNA
Source: RNAcentral